CGACCCUCGGGGCCCCUCCUUGCCUGCAGGGCGGGGGCCCCGGCAUUGGGCCAGCGCGUGUCGCCCACUGGGGCGCCGCGCGGCCCGCAGUCCAGCGGCGGCAGCACCGGCGACGUCCCCUGCGCAGUAACUUACGCUCGCAUUGGUCUCCCGGCGCGGCCCGCCUCGAAACCCCCACAUCUUUA
RNAcentral lists this unclassified non-coding RNA (185 nucleotides) under uncultured Sordariomycetes. RNAcentral's name for it is "sequence contains ITS2". Lineage: Eukaryota; Fungi; Ascomycota; Sordariomycetes. The record is from RNAcentral.